Phodopus roborovskii (desert hamster) is the source of this 86-nucleotide small nucleolar RNA. RefSeq annotates it as small nucleolar RNA SNORD70. Lineage: Eukaryota; Metazoa; Chordata; Mammalia; Rodentia; Cricetidae. The transcript has a single exon. The record is from RefSeq and is a predicted model, not a curated record.
CUCAAUGUUGUCAAUGAUGCAUCCUUAUUGGAACUGAAUUUUAAGUGAUCUAACCCAUUCGUCACUACCACUGAGACAACAUUGAG